RNAcentral lists this ribosomal RNA (495 nucleotides) under uncultured bacterium. RNAcentral's name for it is "partial 16S ribosomal RNA". It matches the Rfam family "Bacterial small subunit ribosomal RNA", at positions 28 to 523 of the family's 1533-position model. The record is from RNAcentral.
GAUGAACGCUGGCGGCGUACUUAACACAUGCAAGUCGAACGAAGCACUUAUCUUUGAUUCUUCGGAUGAAGAGGUUUGUGACUGAGUGGCGGAUGGGUGAGUAACGCGUGGGUAACCUGCCUCAUACAGGGGGAUAACAGUUAGAAAUGACUGCUAAUACCGCAUAAGACCACAGAGCCGCAUGGCUCAGUGGGAAAAAAUCCGGUGGUAUGAGAUGGACCCGCGGCUAAUUAGGUAGUUGGUGGGGUAACGGCCCACCAAGCCGACGAUCAGUAGCCGACCUGAGAGGGUGACCGGCCACAUUGGGACUGCGACACGGCCCAAACUCCUACGGGAGGCAGCAGUGGGGAAUAUUGCACAAUGGGGGAAACCCUGAUGCAGCGACGCCGCGUGAGCGAAGAAGUAUUUCGGUAUGUAAAGCUCUAUCAGCAGGGAAGAAAAUGACGGUACCUGACUAAGAAGCACCGGCUAAAUACGUGCCAGCCGCCGCCGUAA